Molecule: microRNA precursor, 238 nt
Filed under: Prunus dulcis (almond)
Lineage: Eukaryota; Viridiplantae; Streptophyta; Magnoliopsida; Rosales; Rosaceae
Description: sRNA ncRNA
Source: RNAcentral
CAGGGUGGUCACCCAUCCUGGGAUUGCUCCAGCCUCCAACUCGCUUAACUUCGGAGUUCCUACGACUCCGAAGCUAGUGAGCUCCCAAAAGGUCUCGUGCUAGAUGGAUGCGGGUGUGCACAUAUAAGGCACAUCACCCCCUCUUGGGAGCUCACUGACUUUGGAGUCGUAGGAACUCCAAAGUUAAGCGAGUUGGAGGCUAGAGCAAUCCCAGGAUGGGUGACCACCCUGGGAAGUU